UCUAAGCCUUCUGAACUUAUUUUAAUCAAAUAUCUUCACCACAAAUGAUCUUUUCCUCAUACCUUAGGUGCCGAACUUUACGAGUGAGUCUUUUUCCUUCAAUUUAGAUCUUUUCUUCAAUCUUCCGCAAUCAACUCUUUCACGACUCCAUUCAACAUUACGAAAUCCGCCAACCUAUAAAAUCCUUAACAGAACCCGAUG
This 201-nucleotide long non-coding RNA is filed under the name Ananas comosus (pineapple). RNAcentral describes it as "long non-coding RNA (ACOM_LNC039951)". Lineage: Eukaryota; Viridiplantae; Streptophyta; Magnoliopsida; Poales; Bromeliaceae. The record is from RNAcentral.